AUGUGUAUCCCAAAGGAGAGAGGAGGGAUGGGAUUUCGGGACAUUCAGAGCUUCAACUUGGCGAUGCUAGAGAAACAGUGUUGGAGAUUAAUUGACAACUAUGAUUCUCUAUGUGCUCGAGUCUUACGAGCCAAGUAUUACCCCACGGGAGAUAUACUAAACAGCCAAUUAAAUAAGGGUUCGUCCUAUGUGUGGCAGAGCAUCUGGUCAGGAAUUCAAACUUUC
Molecule: ribosomal RNA, 225 nt
Filed under: Triticum aestivum (bread wheat)
Lineage: Eukaryota; Viridiplantae; Streptophyta; Magnoliopsida; Poales; Poaceae
Description: partial small subunit ribosomal RNA
Source: RNAcentral